Molecule: long non-coding RNA, 6222 nt
Organism: Mya arenaria
Lineage: Eukaryota; Metazoa; Mollusca; Bivalvia; Myida; Myidae
Exons: 3
Source: RefSeq, a predicted model, not a curated record
UUAGCUAAUUAAUUGUAGACGUUAUUUUGAACACAAUAUAUUUUUCAACUGUUGAGAAAAAUAAGGCAAUAUUUCAUUUGAUACAUAAUUAAAACUUAUAGUAGGUAAACACUUCAUGACGUGUUAGAGACUUAUACAAUGGCAGAAUUCAGAUCAUUCGGACGAGUGUUUCUAUUAGUAAUAGGCUGUUACUUUUUAAUAGAGGCAACGGAAAGUUUCACUACUGGAGCAACAGAUUACGAUAACGAUUCCCAGAAGGGAGGUUUAUCUGAAACUUCAACUUCCACUUCUAGUUCCAAGGAUAAGGGCUUAUCUGGCGGUGAAACUGCUGGUGUCGUCAUUGGAAUCCUCGUCUUGUGUGCAGCCAUAGGUGGAGGAGUAUACAUCUGUCGUAGAUUGAAGCUUUGUGAAGUUUUGCAUGUCAAGGAAAAUUUGUUCUGUAACAACUGCUGUCAUCUUAACCACCACCAAAAUGACCCAGAGGAAAACAUAUGUCGGAAUGCCGCAGAACCAAACCCCCAAAACCAACUUGUUCUGUAUGCUCAGAAUAGGAAUAGAGAUGUAAAUAGAAAUCCACCGAUGGUAGGCCAAGGUGUCGUCCAAAUUGCAAAGUAUAUUAAAAAACAGCACGUGUUCAAUGAACGCGGAAAUAUUAUCCGCAUAAACCACAACGUAUGCGAACUACACAUGCAGGACAAAGCUAAGCGAACGAAAACCAUAACUUCUCCAGCAAUAGAAGAAAUUGAAUAAAAAACACAUGAACUCCUAUUAGUUGUUAUUGGUAGUAUAACUACCCAACGUUUUGCAGCAAAAUGCUGCCUUCAUUAUUGUAUCACUAAUAAUUCGUUUCCGAUAAAGUACCAUGUCGUAAAGACAACAAACAUUCUAGAAAAAAACAUAAUUAUUAUUGUGGCAAAAACAUAUUAAUGCCUAUAUAUAGCUAUCAAUGUUGCUAUUAUUAGAAAAUUAGUUACAUAACUUAUAUUAUGCAAUUUUCGCAAUUGUAUUCAUUUUAUGACUAAAAUGUGGAUAUAACAAAAUGUUUAUUUUCUUUCACUGAUAUUAUUAUUGAAACAAUAUUGUAUUCUAUGAUCUUAGUUAGUUAGAUGUUAAUACACGCCGUAGCCGGGCCGUUAAGUGAUACUUGGCAACAUAAUUUAAAACGUGAAACAUAUAUUUCUGCUUUAAACAAUUUCAUGUACCGAUUUGUGAGCAGAAUAAAUCGUGUAUAAACCUCUUUAAUACAUACGUUUUUUUUCUUUAUUUUGUAAGUUUAAUGUCUUCUUUUAAAGUGUACAUGCAAUCUAAUUGUGCAUUCUUAUUCCUUCUGGCUUGACUACAUUGACUCAACUCACUCUCAAAUUAAAUCUAUUUUUUCAUGUUCCCAUCAACUUCAAUUGUUCACCUUGAAAAUUCCACAACACGUCUAUCCGAAUUUUUCUGUACGAACCACUGACAUUUGAAUGCAAAAACAAGCUAUGCACCUGUCAUUAUUUUGCCCGCCCGCACGGGGGCGGCGGGCUGACCCAGUGGAAUUUGACAUCUUGAAAUGUUUGAAGUCUAAAUCCCCACCCUAGAGACAAUCAUUUUUGUCUAAAUCCCCACCCUUGAGCCUGCUUGGUGCAUCAAGUUCCCCGGGGGUAGAGGAGAGGGUAUACAUCUAAAAGAUCAAUCAUAUGAAUCAGUUCUGUACGUUUAAAAUUUAAAUUAGGUGAGACAGUACCUUUAAUAUCGAGGUCAUUCUGACAAUGUCAGUAAACCACGUAAUCGCCAAUAAUAUAUCAUACAUGUUGGAUUGGUUCUCCUAUGUGUUAUCCUAACAAAGCGGGAAUCAAUGAAAUAGGAUUACCAAUUCUACUUUCAUUUUUUGAUGAAUGCUUAUUUUUAGAAGUUUUCUGCUGUAAUCGUUUAUAAUCUACAGGUAUAGUGAACGUUCUUUUGUGGAUUUAGUAUUAUUAUUACGACAUAUCGUGAGUUUCAUGUGACGCCUCUCAGACUCGCAAAAUAAAUGGGUCUAAUUCGCGAAAACAGAUGACAAACAUGAAAACCGCUCGGCCCCAUGCAUACUAUGUCCGGGUAUAGGUGAAAAUAAAUGGAGAAUACAAUCCCUGUUUACCUUUGAAUAUUGUUCCUAUUUCUGGGGCAAUCUUCUCGCCCCAUCCCACAAUUUUUUCGACAGAAAAAUUCGAUAGGUCAUCCAUCAUGCAUGCGCUGUCUGCUACUAGAAAAACACGUAUAAAAAUAUCGCCGUCGUCUUUCGACUUUUCGCGGUUACUCCCCUUUUUUAUUUUGUGGCGUCGAAAUUCCCGAUUUCCGGGAUGUAAAAACCGGCCAAAGUCUAUUUUCCGGGACCCGGAUUCAAUAAGUUUGUCAAAUUCCCGCCUUUCAGGAAUGGUGUUCUGUCUAAAGCCCCGUGUAUGCCCGCAGCCCCCCCCCCCCCCCCCCCCCCCCCGGGCGGGCAAAAUAAUGACAGGUGCACUACGCCACACAGUUCAAUUCAAUGAACAUGAACACGUAGGAAGUAGAACUACUGUUUGUACUCUUAAAUAAACCUAGCAUUAUUAAUUAACAUGUAUGUACAGUUUUUUUAAGUAAAUUCAAUUUUGCCACUUCCUUUGUUUUGUUUAUAGAAUGACAACGAUGAAUAAAGCCGUCCUAAUAGACCACACUGGUUAUCACACACUAGCAUAUUUUUCUAAACUGCAUUCGCGUUUGCCCGAUUUUAAUAAUUAAUCUGUUCAAGCAGAUCAAUAAAUUGUGAUUAUUUAGUUAAUACUCAACAGUCGCCAAAUUUGAUUUUAAGACAAAAAUCUAAUUUACGUUCGAACGUUGUACGGGUCCCAAAAUGAUAAUCGACAAUCGACCCGGGCCGCAAAAUAGAUAAUCGCCAUGUCGUGCAAAUAAUCGCGGAUUCCCUGCACAAAUGUGUUGCUAUAUUCAAUAACAUAUGUAUCAACAUAAUAUCAACAGUUAUUUCAUGACAAAGUACUUGGCUUUCCAUGUUGAUGUUGCAUUUUAAAGUAUCGUGCACUAAACAAAAUGUGAGAACCUGACUAUUGACAUCUUGACACUUAAUUCUAGCAGGGUGUUGACGUCGGGAAGAUCAUUUUAAACACCGAAGAGUGUUUAAUUUAGUUUGUGAUUAUUAUUAUUCUCAUAAAUGUAAACGCCUUUGCGUACUUUAAAGGAAUAGAAUUUUUUAUUUUUCAUAAAGUAAGUAGUAAAACAGAAGGAAGUGGCGUUUUGAUGCCUAACACUCCUCUUUCAUUGGGAUGGAAGAGCGUACUUAAGAUGCGAUGUUAAACGUAAAUUGUUUUUUCUCAUUUAUUUUUACAUAGAGUACCAAUAACACAUUCAUGGUCAUCUUUAAAUAAUGUUACAUUCUAUGCAUUUUCUAUCAGUAUGGCUAAGCUCGCACAUACGCGCACGCACGCACGCACGCACGCACCCACGCACGCACGAACGAACGCACGCACGCACGCACGCACGCACGCACGCACGCACACACACACACACACACGACAGUGAUGUCCCUUUCACUAAGAUAUUCGUACAAGAUAAGCUACAAUAGAGAUUUAAUAUUUGUUAUUUAAUUUAAAAAUAAUUUAAACAUUAAAACAAUCAAUCGAUAUGGCUAGUUGUGUCUUUUAAUGAUUGUAUGAUAGUUUCAGUAUUUCCAACUUUUGUUUGUUGGCUUCGUACUUAUCGUUUUUUUAACGCAAUAUGCUCUUCAAUUUUAAUUCUUAGUUUAAGAUGCAUCAAACAUGCAUUAAAGAAUAAAUGUCUAUUAUUACACAUGGUUGGGUUUAUAUAAAACUUCAUUGAAACAAUAAGAAAGUUGCAAAUAUUGCCGUAAUUGUUUUUACAUACUAUUGAUUGAGAUAUUAAUUGUUGUUGAGGCAAUUAUUUAAUUUGUUCCACAACUGUUGUGCACUCCCAAUAAAAAUGUUCAACACCUGAAUGGCAAAAGGAGCAUAAUCUACAAUCGACAAGUUUGAACUUAAAAUCUCAUGUAUUUUCUGGUAUUAUUCUCAAAAGGAACUUGUAAUAAAAACUACGUAAGGUGGUGUCUAUUGGUGUAUAUAUUUGUAUAUAUUACUAUAGAUCUGUUUCUAUUCGAUUUGUUCAUUUUCGUUUGCUAAAGCUUCUGUCCAUUUUUAUUCUGAAGUUGGUGUUAAAUUUGUUUGAAGUAAUAUUAAGUAAAGAAACUUGAUUGAUUGUACGACUUUUUUUUUAAUGAUGUGUUGUGAGUGUGGCUAAUUUCAUCUUUAGUCAGCCGUAUUCUCGUUUCCAUCGAGAUUGAUUUAGUAAGGGUUUGGUAUCUUAUGAAAUCGGGGCUUUGUAUGCCGUAUAAAUUUUCAAUUUGAAUAAAAUUGUAAAAUGUAUUGGUUUUAUAAUAAAAAAUGUGCUCAUAGUACUUUAUCCCUUUUUAUACCAUUUUUUUUUUAUAGAAUAUAGUGUUUCCUGUAUUACGAACAUUUGUUUCCAUAUCACUGUUUUGGCAAUUUUACCUUUAUAAGAGUCGUAUAUUUGUUUUAUUUUGUUCCAUGAUUCGAGAACAUUAUUCAAAAUGAGCCAUUUUCUUACACUUUACUUAUGAAAUACUUAUCCAUUUCACAAAUAUAAGAUUAUUUUCAUACAUUUCAACUUUUUGUGAAAAAAAAUAAUUUCCAUUGACUUUUAUUAGUGUCAUCCAGGUAUGUUUUAACCCAAACAGCUUUUAAAGAGUCAAGGAAAGCUGCACUAUUUGUAAGCUUAAGUCCACUCUUUUGAUAAUUUUGGUACAAAAUAUUUCUUUAUAUUUUUUCUGGCUUACUAUCCAACAGGGAUUUGAAAAUGGCUCUUACAUUUUUUUCAACAAUUUGUUUGCUUGGAUUAUAUAAUACUGUAAAUGGGUAUAUUAAUUUUGGUAGAGCAUACGUUUCCACAACUGUUACUUUACCCAUUAACGUUAACUUUCUAUGUUCCCACUGUUUCAGUGUUUUAUAAAAUUUAUCAAGCUUUGUGUUGGUAUUUUUGUCAAUAGUUAGUUGUUUAUUGUUGUUGAAGGUAAUACCUAAUGCUGUUGCACAAUCUGAUGUCCAUAUAAAUGGUUUAUAUAUGUUGUUGUUUUAAACGUACACAUCUCAGAAUUAUGGAUUUAUUUGUGUUCAGGAUUAGACCUGAACAUUUUGAAAACGAUUCUAAUAAUUUGAUCAAGGAUUCAAAAGAAUGUUCUGAACCAUCAUUAAAAUAAGUUGUAUCAUCAGCGAAAAGUGAUUGUUUAAUUUCCACAUUAUCUACAUUUAUUCCCUUUAUAUCAGGGUUUUGCUUGAUAUAGCUUGACAGUAUGUAGACAGAGGAUAAAGAAAGUGGACAGCCUUGUCGUACUCCUUUUUCAAUUGUGAAUGUUUCCGACAGAUGACCAUUAUCUAUAAUUAUACUUUGAAUAUCUCUAUAGAAUAGUUUAGUCCAUUGUACAAUAUCGGUGCCAAAGUUUAACGUUUUUAGACUAUCGAAUAUAAAAGAGUGAUCAAUACUAUCAAAAGCUUUUUGAAAGUCGGCAAAGAAUAAGAGCCCAAGCAUAUUAAUAUUUCAAGAUAUUGCAUAACCUCAGUAUUAAGUCGAACAUUUUCGCCAAUGUAUCUACCCUUGAUAAAACCCGUUUGCUCAGGGUCAAUAUUUUUGACAAAAUUUGUUUUAUUCUAUUUGAUAUUGCUUUUGUUGCUAUUUUGUAAUCAAUGUUAGUAAACGAAUAGGUCUCCAAUUUAAUAGGUUUACUAAAUCUUUGUCAGGUUUUAGAAUUAGGGAAAUUAUACCUUGCUUUUGGAGCGGUGUCAAAUGAAAGAAUUAAGACGUUAAUUAAAGCACUCUAUAACAUUUUAUAAAUUUCCGUAGUAAGACCAUCUGAGCCGGUACAUUUAUUAUUGUUCAUGUCUUUUAAAGCAUUUCAGCAUUAAUGUAUUGCAAGUUAUGUUAUCUUUUUUAGAGAGCAAAUAGCUUUCGUUCCUAAUUCCAUUUGAAAAUAUGAAAACAUGCCAUGAAAUCUUAAAAUUUAGGCGUCAGUAUUUGUAUAUUAAUUAGAAAAAAGUUAUUUUCUUAUCAUUUCUUUGUGAAUAUGUUAUUCAAAAAUUAUUAUAUAUGUAUGUUUGCAUAUCCUAUCAUUUCAAUGUCGUAUUGUGUAUAAUUCAUCAGUCUUAAGAAUUUAAUAAAACCAUCAAAGAAACAUGUGUUAUUUGCAUC